AAAAAGAAAAGAGAGAGAAGAAAGAAAGCGAGGGUUUUCUCAGUGCACAACACAGAAGGCCUUCCUUCAAAGACCCCAAAAGCCAAGAUAUUUAUCUCCUUGUUCUUUUUGUCCGCAGAGAGAAACCAAACCUAGAUUAAACCAGAGAGCGCCGUCUGGGCGGGGACCGGUCAGAUCUGACGGAGGAGGCGCGGCGGAGAGAGAGAGAGAAAGAAAAAAAAUGAGCGGGAGAGGCGGCGGCGGAGGGAAUGGGAAGGGGAGUAGCGGAAUAUCCGGAAUACCAGGUGGGUCCCGGAAGAUCGUUCAGAGCUUGAAAGAGAUAGUGAAUAACUGCACUGAGCAGGAGAUCUAUGCUAUGCUUAAGGAAUGUAACAUGGACCCUAAUGAAGCCGUCAAUCGUCUUCUUGCUCAAGAUCCUUUUCAUGAAGUGAAGAGCAAACGCGAGAAGAAAAAGGAGAGUAAGGAACCAACGGAUUCUAGGUCCCGCGGUGCUAAUUUUUCAAAUUAUGGUGGUAGAGGUGGUGAUCGCUAUGCUUCACGUGGCGGAUCAAACCACUUUGGCACUAAUGAGUCUGGUUCUUUGCAUGGUAGACCUGCGUACAGGAAGGAAAAUGGAACACCUGCCUAUGCAGGUUCUUCCUCUACUGCGGCUGGCACAACUGGAUAUAACUCGAGCCGACGACCUCCUACAUACAGUGAUUCGGUGGCAGCUGAAAAUAAAGUCACAUCACUAGCUGAUGAUGGAAUAUCUUCAUCCUCACAGCCUUCCUCUGGAUAUCAGUCUGCAUGGGAGGGGUGCCAGGUCAAGUUUCAAUGGCUGACAUUGUUAAGAAGGGUAGGCCGCAAGCCAAGGCACCCCCAGCUCAUAUUGUCAAUCAUCAUGAUACAGGGGCACCUCCUGCAGCAGGAUACAAUCUGAAUUCAUCGCAGACUAAGCCCUUGGCUGAUGAGUGGCCCUUGAUUGAGCAUCCUCCAGGUGUUAGCAUGUCCUCCAUUUUAGGGAAACCUGCAAAUUCUGAGCUGUAUGCUAAUUCAUCUAGCUUUCCCGUGGAUAACACUAAUCAGCAUGUAACAUCCCAACUAGAUGAGGUUGAUACGGAUGAUACGGAAGAUGAUGGUUCCGUUGAGGCACUGAACACAAGCCAUGAUGGGCCUACUUCUGUUUCCGGUAGAAAUGUGCAAGAAGAUAACUCGGCCAAUGCAUCAGCGUUUGAUAAUAGCUCGUAUGAGGAUAUCGAUCCCUACCAUACACAGAGACAUGUCCUCGAGGAUAAUGAAGGUUCAGGUGAGCAUGAUGCUUCAUCAGUGGCUGCAAACUUGCAGCAGCUUGACUUACAGAAGGAUGAUAGGGGAGCACCACCUGAAGACGAGAACCCUCCCCCAGUAGUCAUUCCAAAUCACCUACAGCUCCAUACUCCAGAUUGCUUGCACUUGAGCUUUGGAAGUUUCCGAUCUGGCCCUGAACCUGAUCUUGCAAGUUCUCAUCCACUGAAAAGUGACUUGGAAGAAACAUCUCCGACAGUAGAUGUUUCUGCUGUUGGGCACUCAGAUGCUAGAAAUCCUGACUACUAUGGAGACGAGCAUCUCAUAAAUACCUCUGAUGGAAGUUUGGUUCAUAGAACUGGGGCCAAUGCUGGAGAUUAUGAUUCUCCUUCAGUGCCACAACCAGAGGUCUUAAAACAGGAAACCCCUGAAGCUGAUCAGGGCAUUCAAUAUACUUUUCCUUCUGCACCUGGAUUUGCCUAUGACAGCUCUCAACAACUGAAUAUGGCAUUUUCUCACCAACAGAGUUCACAGAUGCAGAACAAUGCUCCCUUUUCAAGCAUGAUGGCAUACACAAACUCAUUGCCCAGCACACUGUUGGGUUCAAAUGCUCAGAAUGUAAGGGAGGAUCUUCCAUACUCACCUUUCCCUGUGACACAAUCUAUGCCCACAAAAUAUAGCAACGUGCCUUCUUCCAUCAGCGGUCCCACCAUGUCCAUGCCAGAGGCUUUGAGAGCAGGUGGCAUCUCUUCUGCUCAACCUACUCAACAGACCCUACCCGGUGCUGGUGUUGCAACUGGACCUGCUCUUCCACAACACCUGAUGCACCCUUACUCUCAACCUAGUCUACCUUUGGGACAUUUUUCCAACAUGAUUGGUUAUCCUUUCUUGCCUCAGAGCUACACAUAUAUGCCAUCAGCAUUCCAGCAAGCUUUUGCUGGUAACAGCACAUACCAUCAGUCACUGGCUGCAGUUCUCCCACAGUAUAAAAAUAGUGUUUCUGUCAGCAGCUUGCCCCAGUCUGCAAAUGUUCCUUCUGGUUAUGGGUUUGGUAGUUCAACUAGCAUUCCUGGAGGAAACUUUCCGUUGAAUCCUCCAUCUGCACCUACCGGCACAACAAUCGGUUAUGAUGAUGUUAUAAGCUCCCAGUACAAGGACAGUAACCAUUUGAUGUCACUUCAGCAGCAGAAUGACAACUCAGGCAUGUGGGUACACGGACCUGGUUCCCGAGCAAUGCCCGCUGUUCCAGCCAGCAAUUAUUACAGUUUCCAGGGGCAGAAUCAACAGCAUGCUGGUUUCCGCCAAACCCAGCAACCAUCGCAGCAAUUUGCUGGAGCAGCUCUAAACUACCCAAACUUCUAUCAUUCUCAGACAGGGAUGUCCCUCGAUCAUCAACAGCAAAGUUCAAGGGACGCAUCCCUGGGUGGCUCACAGGGCCAACCUUCUAAGCAGUCUCAACAAUUAUGGCAAAACAGCUACUAAUCUCAGUCACCUCCAGGUUUUUCAGGGUCUCACUCCGAGUUUGAAAGUGGCCAAUCAGAGGCAUUAGGCCUCUUAAUAAUCAUCAUGUAUCCUUAUUUGGUCAUAAAAGAGACCUUGACUGGCUGCUGCCCUGUGCCACGAGGUUGUAUCCUAGAUAUUUAUUUUUCCUGUCAUGCUUAACGUAGGAACGCAGUGUGCUAAUUUGGAUUAGUGAAGUACUAUACUACGCCCCGUUUCGUUUCUCGCUCAUCGCCUUUCUUUGUUAUAGUAAAAUCAUUGUUUGCUUUG
Molecule: RNA transcript, 3033 nt
Organism: Fragaria vesca subsp. vesca
Lineage: Eukaryota; Viridiplantae; Streptophyta; Magnoliopsida; Rosales; Rosaceae
Exons: 10
Source: RefSeq, a predicted model, not a curated record